This 625-nucleotide long non-coding RNA is filed under the name Apteryx owenii (little spotted kiwi). Its description in RNAcentral is "lncRNA (ENSAOWG00000016399.1)". Lineage: Eukaryota; Metazoa; Chordata; Aves; Apterygiformes; Apterygidae. The record is from RNAcentral.
UACUUCCACAGGUUCCCUGCUCUGUAUAGUCUGUUCCCUGGCUUCUCUACCUCUGCCCUGCCUAGCUCCUUCCCCCUGAGCUGGCAGCAGACAGCUUUCUGCUACCCAAAUUGAUGAAGCCUCCAGGAUGGGAUGAAGUGCUCUGCAGACAGGUGCCAUUUAUUCAGUUCUUUCAAGGCUGGCGUAUGAUAGUGAUAUGAUGACACUCCAAAAUAUUGCCAGCCAGGGAGGGCGACCUGUAUUGCAGAGCUGUUCUCUACCUGGAAGUACAACAGUAAGGUAGCGGCAGCUGUUCUUGACCACGUGUCUGACUGCCAGUAGGAUGCUGUAUGUGAUGUAUAAGCACAUCGUGCUUCGUCGGGCAAGCGGCAGGUUUCACAGUGUGCAGAAGGGUUGCUUAAAAAGAUUUGAAAUGCCCACAAGUAAAGGUAAUAAAAUUGGGAAAGUAAUUGUGAGAAGAUGGAGCAACAUCAGCCCAGUACUCUUAAGGCAGAGCUUCUUCUGAACUGUUUGUGUAAUGUUUCCAACCAGUCACGCCCAGCAGAGAUCACAGCAAAGACAACAGUAAGUCAGCAGUUACUUUGUCUUGCCUUUACACCAGAUAACUGCACUAAUCAUGAUAUUU